AGUGGCGGACGGGUGAGUAACACGUAAGAAUUUGCCUUUAGGAGGGGGACAACAACUGGAAACGGUUGCUAAUACCCCAUAUGCUUUCGAGUAAAAUGGAUUUCCGCCUAAAGAGAAGCUUGCGGCUGAUUAGCUUGUUGGUAGGGUAAUGGCCUACCAAGGCGACGAUCAGUAUCUGGUUUGAGAGGACGAUCAGACACACUGGAACUGAGACACGGUCCAGACUCCUACGGGAGGCAGCAGUAGGGAAUUUUCCGCAAUGGGCGAAAGCCUGACGGAGCAAUACCGCGUGAGGGAUGAAUGCCUAUGGGUUGUAAACCUCUUUUUUCGGGGAGGAAUAAAUGACGUGUACCUGAAGAAUAAGCAUCGGCUAACUCCGUGCCAGCAGCCGCGGUAAGACGGAGGAUGCAAGUGUUAUCCGGAAUCACUGGGCGUAAAGCGUCUGUAGGUGGCUUAAUAAGUCAACUGUUAAAUCUUGAAGCUCAACUUCAAAAUCGCAGUCGAAACUAUUAGACUAGAGUAUAGUAGAGGUAAAGGGAAUUUCCAGUGGAGCGGUGAAAUGCGUAGAGAUUGGAAAGAACACCGAUGGCGAAGGCACUUUACUGGGCUAUUACUGACACUCAGAGACGAAAGCUAGGGUAGCAAAUGGGAUUAGAUACCCCAGUAGUCCUAGCCGUAAACAAUGGAUACUAGGUGUUGA
Molecule: ribosomal RNA, 700 nt
Filed under: uncultured bacterium
Lineage: Bacteria
Description: bacterial SSU rRNA
Rfam family: Bacterial small subunit ribosomal RNA
Source: RNAcentral